Molecule: long non-coding RNA, 239 nt
Organism: Octopus bimaculoides (California two-spot octopus)
Lineage: Eukaryota; Metazoa; Mollusca; Cephalopoda; Octopoda; Octopodidae
Source: RefSeq, a predicted model, not a curated record
CGUGCAGUUGUUAGUUUUCAGUUGAUAUCCAAAGGGUCAGAAAGAAAGUUUCGGACACACGCGAAAGUCUUGACGAAAACUUUUCCCUGUCAUAAUUCCACUAAUGAAGGCUAUAUCCAGGCGUCAAAGAAUUAUAACCAAUGUUGUUUGUUUCUUUGUUUGUUUUGUUUUGUUUUGUUUUUGUUUUUAUUUACAACUUUAUACAAAAUUUCGGAAAUAAUCAAAAUUCAGAAAAUGUU